GUGAGCCGUGUGAUGGGCGACUAUCUAGCACGGUUCGGAGAGGACUUUAGUAUCUCAAAGAGGUGCUGUAUAGGUUGCGCUUUGGGUGAACUUUUCACUCUAU
Non-coding RNA from Klebsormidium nitens, 103 nucleotides. The record is from Rfam. Lineage: Eukaryota; Viridiplantae; Streptophyta; Klebsormidiophyceae; Klebsormidiales; Klebsormidiaceae.